This 811-nucleotide ribosomal RNA is filed under the name bioreactor metagenome. RNAcentral's name for it is "bacterial SSU rRNA". It matches the Rfam family "Bacterial small subunit ribosomal RNA", at positions 152 to 964 of the family's 1533-position model. The record is from RNAcentral.
UGAAACGACUGCUAUACCGCAUAAUCUCUUCGGAGCAAAGGUGGCCUCUAUUUAUAUGCUAUCGCAACAAGAUGAGCCAAGUGGGAUUAGCUAGUUGGUAAGGUAAUGGCUUACCAAGGCUUCGAUCCCUAGCUGGUCUUAGAGGAUGACCAGCCACACUGGAACUGAGACACGGUCCAGACUCCUACGGGAGGCAGCAGUGGGGAAUAUUGCACAAUGGGGGAAACCCUGAUGCAGCCAUGCCGCGUGUGUGAAGAAGGCUUUCGGGUUGUAAAGCACUUUCAGCGAGGAGGAAAGGGUGAUGGUUAAUAUCCAUCAUCUGUGACGUUACUCGCAGAAGAAGCACCGGCUAACUCCGUGCCAGCAGCCGCGGUAAUACGGAGGGUGCGAGCGUUAAUCGGAAUUACUGGCGUAAAGCGCGCGUAGGUGGUUAAUUAAGUCAGAUGUGAAAGCCCAGGGCUCAACCUUGGAACUGCAUUUGAAACUGGUUGACUAGAGUUUGUAGAGGGUGGUAGAAUUCAGGUGUAGCGGUGAAUGCGUAGAGAUCUGAAGGAAUACAGUGGCGAAGGCGGCCACCUGGACAGAGACUGACACUGAGGCGCGAAGGCGUGGGGAGCAAACGGGAUUAGAUACCCCGGUAGUCCACGCAGUAAACGAUGUCUAUUAGAAGUUUGUGGCUAUAUGCCGUGGGUUUCAAAGCUAACGCAUUAAAUAGACCGCCUGGGGAGUACGGCCGCAAGGUUAAACUCAAAUGAAUUGACGGGGGCCCGCACAAGCGGUGGAGCAUGUGGUUUAAUUCGAUGCAACGCGA